This 207-nucleotide ribosomal RNA is filed under the name uncultured bacterium. Its description in RNAcentral is "partial 16S ribosomal RNA". It matches the Rfam family "Bacterial small subunit ribosomal RNA", at positions 568 to 774 of the family's 1533-position model. The record is from RNAcentral.
CGCGUAGGCGGCCUUGCAAGUCAGGUGUGAAAUCCCGGGGCUCAACCCCGGAAGUGCAUUUGAUACUGUGAGUCUUGAGUAUGGGAGAGGGAAGUGGAAUUCCUGGUGUAGCGGUGAAAUGCGUAGAUAUCAGGAGGAACACCGGUGGCGAAGGCGACUUCCUGGACCAAUACUGACGCUGAGGCGCGAAGGCGUGGGGAGCAAACA